This 939-nucleotide ribosomal RNA is filed under the name Lactiplantibacillus paraplantarum. RNAcentral describes it as "bacterial SSU rRNA". The record is from RNAcentral. Lineage: Bacteria; Bacillati; Bacillota; Bacilli; Lactobacillales; Lactobacillaceae.
CGUGGGCGGCGUGCCUAUASAUGSAAGUCGAACGAACUCYGGKAUKGRUUGGUGCYUGCMUCAUGAUYUACAUUKGAGUGAGUGGCGAACUGGUGAGUAACACGUGGGAAACCUGCCCAGAAGCGGGGGAUAACACCUGGAAACAGAUGCUAAUACCGCAUAACAACUUGGACCGCAUGGUCCGAGYUUGAAAGAUGGCUUCGGCUAUCACUUUUGGAUGGUCCCGCGGCGUAUUAGCUAGAUGGUGRGGUAACGGCUCACCAUGGCAAUGAUACGUAGCCGACCUGAGAGGGUAAUCGGCCACAUUGGGACUGAGACACGGCCCAAACUCCUACGGGAGGCAGCAGUAGGGAAUCUUCCACAAUGGACGAAAGUCUGAUGGAGCAACGCCGCGUGAGUGAARAAGGGUUUCGGCUCGUAAAACUCUGUUGUUAAARAAGAACAUAUCUGAGAGUAACUGUUCAGGUAUUGACGGUAUUUAACCAGAAAGCCACGGCUAACUACGUGCCAGCAGCCGCGGUAAUACGUAGGUGGCAAGCGUUGUCCGGAUUUAUUGGGCGUAAAGCGAGCGCAGGCGGUUUUUUAAGUCUGAUGUGAAAGCCUUCGGCUCAACCGAAGAAGUGCAUCGGAAACUGGGAAACUUGAGUGCAGAAGAGGACAGUGGAACUCCAUGUGUAGCGGUGAAAUGCGUAGAUAUAUGGAAGAACACCAGUGGCGAAGGCGGCUGUCUGGUCUGUAACUGACGCUGAGGCUCGAAAGUAUGGGUAGCAAACAGGAUUAGAUACCCUGGUAGUCCAUACCGUAAACGAUGAAUGCUAAGUGUUGGAGGGUUCCGCCCUUCAGUGCUGCAGCUAACGCAUUAAGCAUUCCGCCUGGGGAGUACGGCCGCAAGGCUGAACUCAAGGAAUUGACGGGGCCCGCACAGCGGUGGAGCAUGUG